Molecule: ribosomal RNA, 375 nt
Filed under: Bacillus subtilis
Lineage: Bacteria; Bacillati; Bacillota; Bacilli; Caryophanales; Bacillaceae
Description: bacterial SSU rRNA
Rfam family: Bacterial small subunit ribosomal RNA
Source: RNAcentral
CCUAGAGAUAGGACGUCCCCUUCGGGGGCAGAGUGACAGGUGGUGCAUGGUUGUCGUCAGCUCGUGUCGUGAGAUGUUGGGUUAAGUCCCGCAACGAGCGCAACCCUUGAUCUUAGUUGCCAGCAUUCAGUUGGGCACUCUAAGGUGACUGCCGGUGACAAACCGGAGGAAGGUGGGGAUGACGUCAAAUCAUCAUGCCCCUUAUGACCUGGGCUACACACGUGCUACAAUGGACAGAACAAAGGGCAGCGAAACCGCGAGGUUAAGCCAAUCCCACAAAUCUGUUCUCAGUUCGGAUCGCAGUCUGCAACUCGACUGCGUGAAGCUGGAAUCGCUAGUAAUCGCGGAUCAGCAUGCCGCGGUGAAUACGUUCCC